Molecule: ribosomal RNA, 947 nt
Filed under: Verrucoconiothyrium nitidae
Lineage: Eukaryota; Fungi; Ascomycota; Dothideomycetes; Pleosporales; Didymosphaeriaceae
Description: eukaryotic LSU rRNA
Rfam family: Eukaryotic large subunit ribosomal RNA
Source: RNAcentral
UUUGACCUCGGAUCAGGUAGGGAUACCCGCUGAACUUAAGCAUAUCAAUAAGCGGAGGAAAAGAAACCAACAGGGAUUGCCCUAGUAACGGCGAGUGAAGCGGCAACAGCUCAAAUUUGAAAUCUGGCCCUCUUUGGGGGUCCGAGUUGUAAUUUGCAGAGGGUGCUUUGGCAUUGGCGGCGGUCUAAGUUCCUUGGAACAGGACAUCGCAGAGGGUGAGAAUCCCGUACGUGGGCGCCUGCCUUUGCCGUGUAAAGCCCCUUCGACGAGUCGAGUUGUUUGGGAAUGCAGCUCUAAAUGGGAGGUAAAUUUCUUCUAAAGCUAAAUACCGGCCAGAGACCGAUAGCGCACAAGUAGAGUGAUCGAAAGAUGAAAAGUACUUUGGAAAGAGAGUAAAAUAGCACGUGAAAUUGUUGAAAGGGAAGCGCUUGCAGCCAGACUUGCCCGCAGUUGCUCACCUAGGCUUUGGCCUGGGGCACUCUUCUGCGGGCAGGCCAGCAUCAGUUUGGGCGGUUGGAUAAAGGCCUCUGUCACGUAUCUCCCUUCGGGGUGACCUUAUAGGGGAGGCGUAAUGCAACCAGCCCGGACUGAGGUCCGCGCAUCUGCUAGGAUGCUGGCGUAAUGGCUGUAAGCGGCCCGUCUUGAAACACGGACCAAGGAGUCUAACAUCUAUGCGAGUGUUUGGGUGUCAAGCCCGGGCGCGUAAUGAAAGUGAACGGAGGUGGGAACCCUUUGGGUGCACCAUCGACCGAUCCUGAUGUCUUCGGAUGGAUUUGAGUAAGAGCAUAGCUGUUGGGACCCGAAAGAUGGUGAACUAUGCUUGAAUAGGGUGAAGCCAGAGGAAACUCUGGUGGAGGCUCGCAGCGGUUCUGACGUGCAAAUCGAUCGUCAAAUUUGGGCAUAGGGGCGAAAGACUAAUCGAACCAUCUAGUAGCUGGUUCCUGCCG